AAAUUCUCAAACCACAUUGAAUUCUUUCAGUGUGGCUUGGAAGUGGGGGUUUAUUUUUGCAGGCUGGUUUUUACAUAAAAUGAAGUCUGCUCCCCUGAAAUGCAUUAGUGGUAUCUGAGCAGCGGGAACUACUACAGGUGUGAUAACUUAUCUAUGCCCUUGGUAUGCUGCAUAAACGGAUUGUACUGCUUAUAACAAAACUUUAUUAUUUUGUUU
Molecule: unclassified non-coding RNA, 216 nt
Filed under: Inocybe glabripes
Lineage: Eukaryota; Fungi; Basidiomycota; Agaricomycetes; Agaricales; Inocybaceae
Description: partial internal transcribed spacer 2
Source: RNAcentral